Prolemur simus (greater bamboo lemur) is the source of this 216-nucleotide small nucleolar RNA. Its record names the gene U3. It matches the Rfam family "Small nucleolar RNA U3". From Rfam's summary of the family: Small nucleolar RNAs (snoRNAs) are involved in the processing and modification of rRNA in the nucleolus. There are two main classes of snoRNAs: the box C/D class, and the box H/ACA class. NCBI's taxonomy places the organism in Eukaryota, Metazoa, Chordata, Mammalia, Primates, Lemuridae. The record is from Ensembl.
AAGACUAUACUUCCAGGGAUUGUUUCUAUAGUUUGUUACUAAAGAAGUUUCUCUGAAUGUGUAGAGCACCAGAAACCAUGAGAAGGAGGCACAGCACUGUUUCCUAAGCAUGAAGCUGGCUCUUAGUGUUGCUUCAUUGCAACUCCAAAUUGCCAUUUAUGUUCAUUCUUCUCUUUCUUCAGGAGAGUAAGAGGGAGAGAAUUCAGUUUGAGUGGU